This 32-nucleotide non-coding RNA is filed under the name Rattus norvegicus (Norway rat). The record is from RNAcentral. Lineage: Eukaryota; Metazoa; Chordata; Mammalia; Rodentia; Muridae.
UGCAUAUAGAACAAGAAGUCAUGUGUGAAUGC